GAGAGAGAGAGAGAGAGAGAGAGAGAGAGAGAGAGAGAGAGAGAGAGAGAGAGAGAGAGAGAGAGAGAGAGAUGUAUUUUGGGGGAAGAAGCGAGGGGGAAGCUCUGGCCACCGCUCGCGCGUGCACCGGGUCAUUGCUAGAAGGAACGACUGGUAGCCGCCGAGAGUAGUGCAGCUCGCUGCUCGCACCGUCACCAUGUAUCGUUCAGCCGCUGGGAGGAGCUGCAGGUGAAUACCCCUUUAUACCAUUCAGUACUGACAUGUUUCUUUUUUCAUAGUUAAAUGCAUUGGACUAUUAUCUUAUAGUAGUUUCUGCAGUUUGAUAGCUUAAAUCUAUAUCAUGUAAUGGCCGUGAGAAGUUUCUUUUGUCCAUUUAUCCAUUCAGUUAAAUGGAUAAGGCCGUUGGAGUAUCUUAUAAUCAUGCUCGAUGGCUGAUGCUUCCCCACGGCCCGGCGCGCCGUUGUGGAACAGGACUGGCAAUGUCAGUGCUGAUGUGUGUUAUGGUGGCAGAGGCCAGCCAUAGGAGCUUCACUGUGACUCUAGGAUCACAUGAGUGUUGAGAAUCGGUGUGGCAGCGAGUUUGGUGACCACCCGCGUGGGAACUUUGCUGGCCAUGUAUUUUCACUCCACGGGUGAUGUUUCGGUUGUGUAAUAUUGGCUUGAAUGAUAACUGAAAAUGAGUCAUCGACCGUGUUGGAGGGCACUGCCCUGCAAGUCGUGUUCGUUAUAUGUGGUCUGCUGGAGCAGGGUUACAACCAUUGGCAGAGCAGCGAGGCGGAGUUGCCGCCGCUGGAGUCGACCGUGCCAACCGACAAGGUCACAUCUUCCUACCAGGGGUCAAGCAUACUGUAUGUAUCACUGCGGAAUAUAUUGCAUCAGAUCUGCACCACACCUCAGUUCCCCAUCAAUUGUGUCCAUACCAUCGACCAUAUCAAUAUGAGAAUACCGCUGGAUGGUGUCAGAUCCUGCAACUCUGCCGUCCCAAGGAUCUUUAAUGGCAACCAGGUGCCCACUCGCGAGUUCCAUGCCCUCUGUCGAAAGUUCCAAGAAGAACUACCCCAAGUUCAUCCUGGAGAAGGUACUGAACUGAAUGAGGACGACUGCGGUUGAAGUUUCAACCAUUCCUUGCUUUUGUCGCGCCUGUCCUGCUUGCUCUGCAUCCUGGCUUCCAUCAAGCGGUGCACAAUUCUAUUUGUCAUAGAGAACAUCAUAUACUGCAACUGCCAGUAGGAGGAGUGUGUUGUUAUGUUCCUUGCUUGGUUCGAGGUUGCUCCUUGUCCCUCUCAUCCCUUACUUCAUAUUUUAAUGAGAUUUUGAAGAUUGUAGGCCAGGGUCAUGCUGGUUAAGAGUAUUGGGCAAAUUUAAUUGGAAAUUGGUUUUCUAUUCAAAAUUCGAGCUGACAUUGGUCCUUUCAGGUCUAGACCUUCUUAGUGAUCUUCUGUCUCUUUAUUUGGCAAAUAGAGGAUGCUCAAUUGGCCACAGCAGGUUCAGGGGCUACCAACGCCACAACAGAACUAGAGCGAGCUGAGCACGUUUUUGUUAGAUCCUUUCUCGGUAAACUUAGCUCCUAGAUUCAAUUAGAUGACAAGGUAAUAUGUACAUUUUCCUAUCUAUAGGUACUUGAGUGAUUCAUGGCAAAGAUCUGCAAACAUACAAAAACUCUAUUUUCCCUUUUAAAUUUUCAAAUUCUAAAAAAAUCUGUAAAGGGUUGUAGGCGGUUGCAUUCGGAUGUAAC
RNA transcript from Lolium perenne, 1735 nucleotides. RefSeq lists it as uncharacterized. NCBI's taxonomy places the organism in Eukaryota, Viridiplantae, Streptophyta, Magnoliopsida, Poales, Poaceae. The record is from RefSeq and is a predicted model, not a curated record.